RNAcentral lists this ribosomal RNA (507 nucleotides) under uncultured soil bacterium. RNAcentral's name for it is "bacterial SSU rRNA". It matches the Rfam family "Bacterial small subunit ribosomal RNA", at positions 26 to 529 of the family's 1533-position model. The record is from RNAcentral.
AGAUUGAACGCUGGCGGCAGGCCUAACACAUGCAAGUCGAGCGGUAGAGAGGUGCUUGCAUCUCUUGAGAGCGGCGGACGGGUGAGUAAUGCCUAGGAAUCUGCCUAGUGGUGGGGGAUAACGUUCGGAAACGGACGCUAAUACCGCAUACGUCCUACGGGAGAAAGCGGGGGACCGAAAGGCCUCGCGCGAUUGGAGCGGCCGAUGUCAGAUUAGCUAGUUGGUGGGUAAAGGCCACCAGGGCGACGAUCUGUAGCUGGUCUGAGAGGACGACCAGCCACACUGGAACUGAGACACGGUCCAGACUCCUACGGGAGGCAGCAGUGGGGAAUUUUGGACAAUGGGCGCAAGCCUGAUCCAGCAAUGCCGCGUGCAGGAAGAAGGCCUUCGGUUGUAAACUGCUUUUAGUACGGAACGAAACGGUACGUGGUUAAUACCGUACGGCGUAAUGACGGUACCGUAAGAAUAAGACACGACUAACUACGUGCAGCAGCCGCGGUAACUCUA